GUGCGAGACCGAUAGCGAACAAGUACCGUGAGGAAAAGAUGAAAAGAACUUUGAAAAGAGAGUUAAAGAGAACCUGAAACUGCUGAAAGGGAAGCGAAUCGUAUCCAGUGUCUAUAAUCUGCGGCAUAUUUCAUUGGCGGCGGUGCGCGUGCUUUUGCGUCGGAAGCGGCUUUUGUUGCUCUGUGCUUUUGCUGUGCGUGGUGUUGCUGGUGCCCUGUGUUGCGGUGGGACGUCAGAGUCAGUUUGUAUGCUGCGGGAAAUGGCUGCCGAGGAGGUAGGUCGAGAUUUCGGUCUUGGCUGUUAUAUCUUGGUGGUUUGUUGUCGUGGUUGAGACUGAGGUGCCUACAAUGUGCUUUUGAGUGUACCGGGUUCUCAUUUGGUGGACUGUUUGGAUAGCUUGCUAUGCUUGUGGUUUUUUCAUCGGGUGAUUGAGUCUGGUGGUAACUUGUUGCUGUUCGGGACUUUG
This 466-nucleotide ribosomal RNA is filed under the name uncultured Oomycota. Its description in RNAcentral is "LSU rRNA". The stretch from base 1 to 83 matches the Rfam family "Bacterial large subunit ribosomal RNA", at positions 476 to 559 of the family's 2925-position model. Lineage: Eukaryota; Oomycota. The record is from RNAcentral.